Molecule: long non-coding RNA, 436 nt
Organism: Macrobrachium nipponense
Lineage: Eukaryota; Metazoa; Arthropoda; Malacostraca; Decapoda; Palaemonidae
Exons: 3
Source: RefSeq, a predicted model, not a curated record
UCGUUUAACAAGUGUCCUAAAUAGAGAAGUGAAUAUGAUGGAAAUAUAGGCUCAUUUAACAAGUGUCGUUAGGGGUCAUGUGCACAAAUUACGAUGCCGUUCCCCUUCAGGAAUGUAGGCAGUGGACCACGAGGGGAUUAAGACGGACGGUCCUUACGGUGGGAAAGCAAACGAUUUGUGACCGAUUGUAAUAAAGGAAACUAUAAGACAGUCGCGUAUCACUCAAACCCACGUUGGGCCGCCCACAGUCACAAAUCGGCUACCACCCCUCUGGCGAAGCUGUGCGGAGAAGACGAGGAAAUGAGGCUGGUUUCAAAGGACGUCCGCUACCACGCUGCGCCCAAAGAAGACCAGGAGUUGACCGAUUGUAAUAAAGGAAACUAUAAGACAGUCGCGUAUCACUCAAACCCACGUUGGGCCGCCCACAGUUACUGAU